GCCUGGGUGGCUCAGUCGGUUGAGCGUCCGACUUCGGCUCAGGUCAUGAUCUCGCGGUUCGUGGGUUUGAGUCCCACAUCGGGCU
RNAcentral lists this transfer RNA (85 nucleotides) under Felis catus (domestic cat). It matches the Rfam family "tRNA". Rfam says of the family: Transfer RNA (tRNA) molecules are approximately 80 nucleotides in length. Their secondary structure includes four short double-helical elements and three loops (D, anti-codon, and T loops). Lineage: Eukaryota; Metazoa; Chordata; Mammalia; Carnivora; Felidae. The record is from Rfam by way of RNAcentral.